RNAcentral lists this ribosomal RNA (251 nucleotides) under uncultured bacterium. Its description in RNAcentral is "partial 16S ribosomal RNA". It matches the Rfam family "Bacterial small subunit ribosomal RNA", at positions 524 to 774 of the family's 1533-position model. The record is from RNAcentral.
UACGGGGGGGGCAAGCGUUGUUCGGAAUUACUGGGCGUAAAGGGUUCGUAGGUGGCUCGCUAAGUCAGACGUGAAAUCCCUCAGCUUAACUGGGGAACUGCGUCUGAGACUGGCAAGCUCGAGUGCAGGAGAGGAACGCGGAAUUCCAAGUGUAGCGGUGAAAUGCGUAGAGAUUUGGAGGAACACCAGUGGCGAAGGCGACUAUCUGGUCUGUAACUGACACUGAGGCGCGAAAGCGUGGGGAGCAAACA